RNAcentral lists this transfer RNA (94 nucleotides) under Rhodococcus sp. T7. Its description in RNAcentral is "tRNA-Asp". The record is from RNAcentral. Lineage: Bacteria; Bacillati; Actinomycetota; Actinomycetes; Mycobacteriales; Nocardiaceae.
GCCGUUGGUGGCGCGGGAGCGUUCGGGGCGGGUGCCGUUGUCGUUGGCGCAGUCUCGGAUGUGGUUUUUGAACCGGUUCGAGCCGGAGUCGGCU